AGUGAACGCUGGCGGUAGGCCUAACACAUGCAAGUCGAACGGCAGCACAGUAAGAGCUUGCUCUUACGGGUGGCGAGUGGCGGACGGGUGAGGAAUACAUCGGAAUCUACUUUUUCGUGGGGGAUAACGUAGGGAAACUUACGCUAAUACCGCAUACGACCUACGGGUGAAAGCAGGGGAUCUUCGGACCUUGCGCGAUUGAAUGAGCCGAUGUCGGAUUAGCUAGUUGGCGGGGUAAAGGCCCACCAAGGCGACGAUCCGUAGCUGGUCUGAGAGGAUGAUCGGCCAACCUGGAACUGAGACCCGGUCCAGCCCCCUACGGGGGGCAGGAGGGGGGAAUUUUGGAAAAGGGGCGCAAGCCUGAUCCAGCCAUUCCGGGGGGGUGAAGAAGGCCUUCGGGUUGUAAAGCCCUUUUUUUGGGAAAAAAAAGCAGCAGGUUAAUACCCCGCUGUCCUGACGGGACCCAAAGAAUAAGCCCCGGCUAACUUCGU
Molecule: ribosomal RNA, 491 nt
Filed under: uncultured bacterium
Lineage: Bacteria
Description: partial 16S ribosomal RNA
Rfam family: Bacterial small subunit ribosomal RNA
Source: RNAcentral